Molecule: long non-coding RNA, 1320 nt
Organism: Chelmon rostratus (copperband butterflyfish)
Lineage: Eukaryota; Metazoa; Chordata; Actinopteri; Chaetodontiformes; Chaetodontidae
Exons: 3
Source: RefSeq, a predicted model, not a curated record
GCCAGAUGGGAGUUAUGUCAAAUUCCUGUGAAGGAGUAUCUGAUUUUGAUGCGUAUUCAUAACAAAAAUAAAUUUGUAGAGCUGUGUUGAAAGAGCCGGUUCUUGCUGGGGUGGUGAGUCGAGCCCGAGCAGUCAAGAAGGGGGAGAAUUUCAAAAAGACAUCCAAGUCAUGGUCAUGUAGAGCUGGAGGAGAGUCGUUUGGUGCUGAAACAGGAGCCCACGCCCACGCAGCUGUUCCCCAAACUGCAAGUCUGGCUGGAGCUGCAUCUCUGUCAUCUGGCCCCGGUGCCUCUGCCACAGGCUCAAGUGUGUCUCCACCUCUGAGCCAGAAGUUGUCCAAAAUUUCACAACAAGCAAUGACGUUCGCUGGAAAAAAGCAGGGUGCACUUCCAGAGAAAAAUAUUGAGCCGCUACCUUCUUGAUUGCAGAAUGGGCCUCUGGAUGCUUUCUGUUAAACCUCGCUGCAACUGGACUUCCCACUGGUGCAGAGUGUCACACCAUCUGCUUGAAUACAGUAGCUUUCAGGAGGGUACAGUCUUUAAACAUACAGAGGGCUAUAAUUAAGACCUCUGGCAUCAUGGACUCAGCCUGGAUAUCCCAUAAGAAUGUUCAGAAACUGACUGGUGGUCACACACUGCUUGCAUCUGAAACUGUGGGUCUGGAUGGGUGGAGGUCGGAGGUCACUUUGCCCAUAAAAGUGUGAGGCCAAGACAGCAACUAAAAAAUAACUGGAUGAUUGUGAGACCAAACACAGAAAGAUACAUAUUCAGUAGCAUUUCAGACUCUAAAAGUUGUUUUAGACUAUUAUUAAAAAGUAUUUUUGAUUGAGUGUAGUUUGACAGGCACAUACUGCCACAAAGUACUUUGUAUUUAAUAAUUUUGAAAAUAUGCACUGUUUAUGUAAUAUAAUAUAAUUUCUAAUAUCAUGUAUUCAUCACAAAAAUGCGUGUUGGUGUUUAAUAUGGAUGGUCCACCAGCCGACACUGAUGUAGCAUGUUUUAAUUGUGCCAUAACAAUGAUGAGCUCAGUGUGGUCGUCUGGAUAUUGACUGGGGAGAAGUGAAUGAGUGAGUGCUUUUGGACACAGACCUUGUCUUGUUUUCUAAAAACAGAGUGAAAGAAAAAACAAUCUCAGAGUUACCAAAUCGAACAAAUCUAAAACUUUCACAAUUCUGUCUACGUGUGCUGGCAUUUAGGUCGUUAAGUUCUAAUUGCUAGGGGCUGUUUUUCAUUAAUUUAUUGAAGCUGUACUUUUUCAGGCAUGUAUCAAAGUGAAAUAAGAGGCAACUUCUCUGAAAACUACAAAUGAAAGUCGUUCUUU